This 440-nucleotide ribosomal RNA is filed under the name Klebsiella pneumoniae. RNAcentral describes it as "bacterial LSU rRNA". It matches the Rfam family "Bacterial large subunit ribosomal RNA", at positions 806 to 1247 of the family's 2925-position model. The record is from RNAcentral. Lineage: Bacteria; Pseudomonadati; Pseudomonadota; Gammaproteobacteria; Enterobacterales; Enterobacteriaceae.
GACUUGUGGCUGGGGGUGAAAGGCCAAUCAAACCGGGAGAUAGCUGGUUCUCCCCGAAAGCUAUUUAGGUAGCGCCUCGUGAAUUCAUCUUCGGGGUAGAGCACUGUUUCGGCUAGGGGUCAUCCCGACUUACCAACCCGAUGCAACUACGAAUACCGAAGAAUGUUAUCACGGGAGACACACGGCGGGUGCUAACGUCCGUCGUGAAGAGGGAAACAACCCAGACCGCCAGCUAAGGUCCCAAAGUCAUGGUUAAGUGGGAAACGAUGUGGGAAGGCACAGACAGCCAGGAUGUUGGCUUAGAAGCAGCCAUCAUUUAAAGAAAGCGUAAUAGCUCACUGGUCGAGUCGGCCUGCGCGGAAGAUGUAACGGGGCUAAACCAUGCACCGAAGCUGCGGCAGCGACACUAUGUGUUGUUGGGUAGGGGAGCGUUCUGUAAG